CCCGCGGAAUAAUCUAUAGCUCCAUAUGGGCACUCUUCGGCCCUUUAAGGCGUAGUGAUAUCGGAGCCUACAAAGCCGGCUGCAGAGCACCUCCCUCUCCAGUUCCUGAAUUGGCCACUGUGAAGGGACUGAUGACAUUGAGAGAUAAAGAAGACAGAAGACAAGCCACAGCAGCCUAGAAUCUCAUCUAAAAGUUUAGCCUCCACGCUGUUAGCGAGAGGGUCUGAAGGGCAUGGUAUAGGACCAGACCCCAUCUCUCGUGAGGCAGUCCUGUCAAGGUGGAAGGUGAAGGUUUGGACGGAAAACAGAUAGCAGCCAGAGUUGUAGUUUCUGCAUCCUCAAGCAAGCAUUUGUCACAGUCGUGGUUAAUGAAGCCAUGAGGCCCAGCAUAUGUUGGACUGACCAAGCCCACUGCUUGAGGGAAGACUGGAAAGCAAUCACCAUGGAGAAAAUGGCCUGGAGUAUGCUUCUGUCAUUUGCAUUUUCCUACAUAACUCCUGGCUUCAUUAACUGAAAAAUGAACUCUCAUUUUCAAAGUGCUUCUAGCAUGCUUCCUACAGGUGCUUUUAGUUGUUUCAGGUUGAUGAAACAACUUUCUUCAGAUCUACCCACCUUAGUACCACCAUCAUUAAACAGCUAUUAAUAAGAGAAUAAAAAUUACAGGUCAAGAAAGCAAGAUAUACCUGAAAGACCCUGAUUGGGAGACUUCAUUCGAUGUUUUUCAACUUUACUUCCAGCCAAGUUUACCAACUGAGCCCAGACAGACAGCAUGGGUUCAGUG
Molecule: long non-coding RNA, 781 nt
Organism: Hemicordylus capensis (graceful crag lizard)
Lineage: Eukaryota; Metazoa; Chordata; Lepidosauria; Squamata; Cordylidae
Exons: 4
Source: RefSeq, a predicted model, not a curated record